AGCACUUCGCUUACACCGAACUGAAGUCCGUUUAACCCCGACUGUUCUGA
RNAcentral lists this transfer RNA (50 nucleotides) under Pristimantis sp. 3 MT-2017. RNAcentral describes it as "partial tRNA-Val". Lineage: Eukaryota; Metazoa; Chordata; Amphibia; Anura; Strabomantidae. The record is from RNAcentral.